Molecule: ribosomal RNA, 253 nt
Filed under: uncultured bacterium
Lineage: Bacteria
Description: partial 16S ribosomal RNA
Rfam family: Bacterial small subunit ribosomal RNA
Source: RNAcentral
UACGUAGGUGGCAAGCGUUGUCCGGAUUUACUGGGCGUAAAGAGCGCGCAGGCGGUCGUUCAAGUCGCGUGUGAAAGCCCCCGGCUCAACUGGGGAGGGUCACGCGAUACUGAUCGACUGGAAGGCAGGAGAGGGUAGUGGAAUUCCCGGUGUAGUGGUGAAAUGCGUAGAUAUCGGGAGGAACACCAGUGGCGAAGGCGACUACCUGGCCUGUUCUUGACGCUGAGACACGAAAGCUAGGGGAGCAAACGGG